Molecule: long non-coding RNA, 1472 nt
Organism: Pristis pectinata (smalltooth sawfish)
Lineage: Eukaryota; Metazoa; Chordata; Chondrichthyes; Rhinopristiformes; Pristidae
Exons: 3
Source: RefSeq, a predicted model, not a curated record
UCAGUCUCCACUUUGGAAGAAGUACCCUGCACAAAUCUGUCUUUCCCCUUAAAAGAAUUACAGAAUGGAACUGAUGCGCAAAAACAUCAAGGAAGUAAACUGUUAAGAAAAUGAAUUGUUCAGGAAAUAUGACUGCAUAUUAUCAAAGAUCUUAGCUUUGCUGCUUGCUUGUGUCAGGGGCUGACUUGGAACAUCUCCAUUUACAAUCAACAUUCCAGCAGAUGGCCUCAAAUAUAUCUUGGAAAUUUUCAGUACAGACUGCACACAAGGACACUGAAAAGCCCAACCCUGUGUGGAACAACUACUCUUCACAAGCAUUACUAGUUUUACGUUAUCAAGGAUAGCUCAAAGAUUGAUAGUUAGAUGCAGCCUGACCCAAGUAUUUCCAACAUUUUCUGUUUAAAUCAGCACAAGAUAGAGCAGAAUAAAGUGCAAUAAUCUUUUAUGUCUAACUAAACAGAAGUACAGACAGAGAUUCCCCCUAUUGUUUCCAUCAAAAGGCUAGAGCCUCUACAAUGUAUAACCCCCUCAAAGCUCAUAUCAUGGAAGGGUGCUUGAGUAGAAGUGGUACCACUGAACCAAACUAACAUUUAAAAUAAAAACUAUUAACGUGUUAGAUUUCAGAACAGCAGACUUUGAAGGAAUGACAAGCACAAUGAAGAAAAUGGGAAAUGAUUAGAUUGAUUCAUGGGAACUUAUUCAUCGGGAACUUAAGCAUUUUGCUAUUAUAUGAUUGAAAAUGAAAUUCACGCAAUGUGUUGGGAAUAAACAGGAUUUAAAAUUGUGAAACUUAAAGAAACAACGGAGUUCAGAAAAAGAUAGUCAAGCAAUGUCUUGCCAUGAAUUCUACCUUUAUUUGGAUACCAUACAUUAUGAAACUAACUCAGACAACUAAGGCAAACAGCUAAUUGAUCUUGUAUAGGACCCAAAAUCUUUGAAAUAAUUCAAAGUUGACAUGAAUUCCAUGUUUUAAUAUAGUAGCAUCUGAUGCGUCAUCACUGAGAGACCAAGUUCACUUAAGAGCUCAUGGCUAAUUACAUUUUUGAGAAGGAACAUCAGGAUUUAGCACCAGGUCUGGGAACAUUAUGCCACAAUGUCUCAAUAGUCUUAAAUGUAUCUGAACUUGCUCUGUAAGCACUUUUAGAUAUGCAUAUAUUAUGUCAAAGUAUAAAUAGAGAACACGUGCUGAAUAGAGAACAAGUUGCAUCAAUCCCAUCAGCAAAGUGCAUGAUUAAAAGAUGUACCAAUAAACUUAAAUCACAGUCACAAAACAUGGAAAUAGGCUCUUUGACCCAAAAUACCUCCAGUGUUAGUAAGUGGUAAAAGAUUCCAAGGGGUGUUGAUGGGCAUGAGAGAAAAUAAGUUCCUGAGCUACAGGGAAAUAAGGUAAAGGAAUGGGUUCUGCUGGGAGCUGGGAUAGAGCCAAUGGUGCCCUCCUGAGUCAGAACAAGUAAAACUACUUUGAUGUUAUG